GACCUGGCUCCAGCUCUGCUGGAAUUUGUUUGCCCCUGGGAUGUCUACUGAAAAACGUGAGGAACAGCACUUUCCACUCAUAGGACAGGGGCAGGAGCCUGUACCACGAUGGAGCCAAAGGUAAGCUAGGCCUUCUGAACAAGUCCAACCUAAGGGAGUCUUGGAAGCUGUCCAGAAGCUGUGUUUAUAACUGUGCUGAAUUCUAUGGGCUGCCUGCGAAAGGAAUCUAAGCGAAAGACCCCAGGAAACAUCUGAAGUGGCCGUUGAGGCUGGCUGUGUUUCUAAGCUGUUGGAAUGGGAGGAAGAGGUGACUGAAAGGACAGGGAGCAAGUGGAUCACAGACAUCUGGCUACCACACCCUCAUCUCCAUCCUGUCUGAAAUCACACCCCUGGGGCUGGCCUGAAGCACAGCCCAGACAAGCGAGGGUGUAAAAUGAUUCUCCCCGGUCUCACCCUGCACGUCCAUCCUGGGCUUGUUUUCUCUUCUCUGUGCUAAUUUUGCAGCAUACCUUUCAGCUGCGAGGAGAUAAAGCCAUGUUGACUUCACAAGCAAGUCCAAGAGACCAAAGAACUCUGGGUCUUGCUCCUGGUAAACUCUAGAGUCAUGGCUUCCCCCUCGGAUCUGCUUUUCCUCCUGUCAAUAUAUGACAAAGGAGACACAAACACGGUCUCAAAAAUAUACCUUAAGGGGGCUAGUAAAGUGGCUCAGCAAGUGAAGGUGUUUGACAAAAACACCUGAGGUCAACCCCUAGGGCACACAUGGUGGAAAGAAGUAUGCAAACCAGUAGUGUUAUGGCUCCGUAGUCUGGUCAAGGGGAAGAUUUUUACUGUAGAUAUGAGAGAGAACAGCCAGAAGCAUCGGAACGAGUCCAGAGUGGAGAGAGAAAGUAGACUGAACAUAGCCAGAAGACUGGAUCAGGCCACAAGAGAAGCAGGAGCUUCACAAGAGAGAUGGGGAGGGGGAGGAGAGAGAGAGAGAGAGGACAGAGAGAGACUAUCGCAGAAAUAGCAGGGUUAUAAGGAAUAGCUGGGGGAUGUCUAUGAGCUGGGAAACUUUGGGUAGGAGAGGAGGCCAGAAGAGCUAGGACGCUAGCAUGGACCUUGAAAUGAGUGACAGUAAUUGUCAUACUGAAGGAUCCUGGAUGACUCUGUGAGAGUUCUGAGUGAAUAAAGCAGUAAAUAUGAAUAUGUCACAUCUCGCUUUGCAAAUCUAGGUCAACAUUAAAUUGGAUAUUUAAUGUUUACUUAGCAGGUUAACAUUUACCGGGUGUCUUAUAUUUAAUGCCCCAGUUCAUAAUGAAAGCUUCCUGCAGGCUGGUGCCAGCCAGGCUCUAACUGGCUCCAAAGCAUUGUCAUCCUUGGUACUGUCCCCCUUGGUGCGCCACUCCACACUGUAGGACUGACCUGUGUCACCAAUAGACUCUGCAAGAAUGGCGGGUACAGUCUCCAGGGUUAGACAGUCGUGGACAUUUCGAUUCUCACCUCAUUCUGUCUUGGGUCACUCCCUCUGGGCAAGAAAGCGGAUGUCUGUAAGUACGUUCAAGUCUCCGUGGAGAAGCCCACAUAAGUGACAACAGGCGAGAAUAACUAGAAAGAAGAGCAUCCGUUCCCCCUGGGAGCCUUCGGAUACCUGCAGUCACUGCUAAUACCAUUUGGGUUUUUUGCUUGUUUUAUAUAAUGUCUUUCUUGAAAUAUAAUUCACGUGCCAUAUAAUUCAACCACUUAAAAGGUACGGUUUGGCGGCAUUUUAGAACAGUGGCAGAUACACGUAAGCCAUCAACACCUGAGCCCUUUAGCUGUCAGCUCCUCAUUUCCCCAGCCUGCCUCACAAAGCAACCACCAAACAACUUCUAGAUCCAUCUAGAUUCACCUCUGUCAAUUUGCCACUUAGAGAUAUUUGAAGAAGUAGACUCCUUUAGACUAGGUUUUUUUUUUUCAGUUUAUUUAUUACUGUAUGUUUAUGUGCAUGAUUCAGGGAGGCAGGGACAUACAUGCCAUGGUGUGAUUGGGGGGUCAGAGGACAGCUUUAUCAGCCUUCACUCUCCUACUCUAGGUGGGUUCUGGGAAUGAAGCCUGGGUCACUAGGCUUGCCUGGAAAACACCUUCACCCACUGAGUCUUUCCACUGGGCCAGGGUGUAGUAGUUUCUGACUGACAGGUAUUUACCGUUAUGUUUUCAAAGUCAGUCCCUGUUAUAGCAUGUGUCAGAACCUCAUUUCCUUUUAUGGCUGAAUAGAAUUCUGUUUCCAUCGUUUAUACGUGCAUUUUGCUUAUGCAUUCGUGGACAUUGGGUUGCUUCCAACUUUGGGCUAUUGUGAACACUGUUACUAUAAACACUGAUAACAGGU
This 2347-nucleotide long non-coding RNA is filed under the name Mus pahari (shrew mouse). Its description in RNAcentral is "predicted gene, 36582 (MGP_PahariEiJ_G0005125.1)". The record is from RNAcentral. Lineage: Eukaryota; Metazoa; Chordata; Mammalia; Rodentia; Muridae.